AAGUCGUAACAAGGUCUCCGUUGGUGAACCAGCGGAGGGAUCAUUACCGAGUUUACAACUCCCUUCACAUGUGGACGAUCGAACAACCAUCAGGGUGGAGUGUGUGGAUAGGGAACAAUCGAACCGCCCUUCGGGGAGGGGAGACUCGCUAUCUCGCAACUAUGGCUCGGUCUAGGGCUCCUCGAGAGUCUAAUCCUGUGUGAAGCGAUGCGCGACCACCUGGCAGUAUGCCCCUUUGCAUGGUCUGCUUCGGCGGACUGUGGCUGUGGCAAGCGUUCUGCCGAAUCUUGUUUAACCCAAUUUUUUAACCCCUUUAACAACAUACUAAUAACUGAACCAUGUUUCAUUGAGACGCCCUGGCUUCGGCCAUGCAACGGCUCAUGAAUACGAUAUACGUAAUGCUGAACAACUCUUAGCAAUGGAUAUCUUGGUUCUC
Molecule: unclassified non-coding RNA, 436 nt
Filed under: fungal sp.
Lineage: Eukaryota; Fungi
Description: partial internal transcribed spacer region
Rfam family: Eukaryotic small subunit ribosomal RNA (bases 1-46)
Source: RNAcentral